Molecule: ribosomal RNA, 442 nt
Filed under: uncultured bacterium
Lineage: Bacteria
Description: bacterial SSU rRNA
Rfam family: Bacterial small subunit ribosomal RNA
Source: RNAcentral
AUUGAACGCUGGCGGCAUGCUUUACACAUGCAAGUCGAACGGCAGCACGGGCUUCGGCCUGGUGGCGAGUGGCGAACGGGUGAGUAAUACAUCGGAACGUACCCAGAAGUGGGGGAUAACGCAGCGAAAGUUGCGCUAAUACCGCAUACGUUCUACGGAAGAAAGUGGGGGAUCUUCGGACCUCAUGCUUUUGGAGCGGCCGAUGUCUGAUUAGCUAGUUGGUGGGGUAAAGGCUCACCAAGGCGACGAUCAGUAGCUGGUCUGAGAGGACGACCAGCCACACUGGAACUGAGACACGGUCCAGACUCCUACGGGAGGCAGCAGUGGGGAAUUUUGGACAAUGGGCGCAAGCCUGAUCCAGCAAUGCCGCGUGAGUGAAGAAGGCCUUCGGGUUGUAAAGCUCUUUUGUCAGGGAAGAAACGGUUGGGGCUAAUAUCCCCGG